CCUACGGGAGGCAGCAGUGAGGAAUAUUGGUCAAUGGACGCAAGUCUGAACCAGCCAUGCCGCGUGCAGGAAGAAGGCUCGAUGAGUUGUAAACUGCUUUUGUACGAGGGCAAACGCAGAUACGUGUAUCCGUCUGAAAGUACCGUACGAAUAAGGAUCGGCUAACUCCGUGCCAGCAGCCGCGGUAAUACGGAGGAUUCAAGCGUUAUCCGGAUUUAUUGGGUUUAAAGGGUGCGUAGGCGGUCGGAUAAGUUAGAGGUGAAAUCCCGGGGCUUAACUUCGGAAUUGCCUCUGAUACUGUUCGGCUAGAGAGUAGUUGCGGUAGGCGGAAUGUAUGGUGUAGCGGUGAAAUGCUUAGAGAUCAUACAGAACACCGAUUGCGAAGGCAGCUUACCAGGCUACUUCUGACGUUGAGGCACGAAAGCGUGGGGAGCGAACAGGAUUAGAUACCCGAGUAGUC
Molecule: ribosomal RNA, 460 nt
Filed under: uncultured bacterium
Lineage: Bacteria
Description: partial 16S ribosomal RNA
Rfam family: Bacterial small subunit ribosomal RNA
Source: RNAcentral